UAGUGGCGAACGGGUGAGUAACACGUGGGCAAUCUGCCCUUCACUCUGGGACAAGCCCUGGAAAACGGGGUCUAAUACCGGAUAUCACUCCUGCAGGCAUCUGCGGGGGUCGAAAGCUCCGGCUGGUGAAGGAUGAGCCCGCGGCCUAUCAGCUUGUUGGUGAGGUAAUGGCUCACCAAGGCGACGACGGGUAGCCGGCCUGAGAGGGCGACCGGCCACACUGGGACUGAGACACGGCCCAGACUCCUACGGGAGGCAGCAGUGGGGAAUAUUGCACAAUGGGCGAAAGCCUGAUGCAGCGACGCCGCGUGAGGGAUGACGGCCUUCGCGUUGUAAACCUCUUUCAGNAGGGAAGANGCGAAAGUGACGGUACCUGCAGAAGAAGCGCCGGCUAACUACGUGCCAGCAGCCGCGGUAAUACGUAGGGCGCAAGCGUUGUCCGGAAUUAUUGGGCGUAAAGAGCUCGUAGGCGGCUUGUCACGUCGGGNUGUGAAAGCCCGGNGCUUAACCCCGGGUCUGCAUUCGAUACGGGCUAGCUAGAGUGUGGNAGGGGAGAUCGGAAUUNCU
This 567-nucleotide ribosomal RNA is filed under the name Streptomyces sp. 424G12. Its description in RNAcentral is "bacterial SSU rRNA". It matches the Rfam family "Bacterial small subunit ribosomal RNA", at positions 93 to 671 of the family's 1533-position model. Lineage: Bacteria; Bacillati; Actinomycetota; Actinomycetes; Kitasatosporales; Streptomycetaceae. The record is from RNAcentral.